This is a non-coding RNA of Atractiella rhizophila, 84 nucleotides long. NCBI's taxonomy places the organism in Eukaryota, Fungi, Basidiomycota, Atractiellomycetes, Atractiellales, Hoehnelomycetaceae. The record is from the annotation of a GenBank genome assembly.
GCUCUCGUGGCCAAGUUGGCUAAGGCGCUCCCCUAGUAUUCACGCUUCAGGGAGAGAUCGCCGGUUCGAAUCCGGUCGAGAGCA